UGAGUAACCUGCCCUUCACUCUGGGAUAACUCCGGGAAACCGGUGCUAAUACUGGAUACGACCUACUCGGGCAUCCGAUGUGGGUGGAAAGAUUUACUGGUGAGGGAUGGACUCGCGGCCUAUCAGCUUGUUGGUGAGGUAAUGGCUCACCAAGGCGACGACGGGUAGCCGGCCUGAGAGGGCGAUCGGCCACACUGGGACUGAGACACGGCCCAGACUCCUACGGGGGGCA
This 232-nucleotide ribosomal RNA is filed under the name uncultured bacterium. RNAcentral describes it as "partial 16S ribosomal RNA". It matches the Rfam family "Bacterial small subunit ribosomal RNA", at positions 118 to 350 of the family's 1533-position model. The record is from RNAcentral.